GGGUUGUGAGGUUAAGCGACUAAGCGUACACGGUGGAUGCCCUGGCAGUCAGAGGCGAUGAAGGACGUGCUAAUCUGCGAAAAGCGUCGGUAAGGUGAUAUGAACCGUUACAGCCGGCGAUGUCCGAAUGGGGAAACCCAGUGUGAUUCGUCACACUAUCGUUAACUGAAUACAUAGGUUAACGAGGCGAACCGGGGGAACUGAAACAUCUAAGUACCCCGAGGAAAAGAAAUCAACCGAGAUUCCCCCAGUAGCGGCGAGCGAACGGGGAGCAGCCCAGAGUCUGAAUCAGCUUGUGUGUUAGUGGAACGGUCUGGAAAGUCCGACGGUACAGGGUGAUAGUCCCGUACACCAAAAUGCACAGGCUGUGAACUCGAAGAGUAGGGCGGGACACGUGGUAUCCUGUCUGAAUAUGGGGGGACCAUCCUCCAAGGCUAAAUACUCCUGACUGACCGAUAGUGAACCAGUACCGUGAGGGAAAGGCGAAAAGAACCCCGGCGAGGGGAGUGAAAAAGAACCUGAAACCGUGUACGUACAAGCAGUGGGAGCACCUUCGGGUGUGACUGCGUACCUUUUGUAUAAUGGGUCAGCGACUUAUAUUCUGUAGCAAGGUUAACCGUAUAGGGGAGCCGCAGGGAAACCGAGUCUUAACUGGGCGUUAAGUUGCAGGGUAUAGACCCGAAACCCGGUGAUCUAGCCAUGGGCAGGUUGAAGGUUGGGUAACACUAACUGGAGGACCGAACCGACUAAUGUUGAAAAAUUAGCGGAUGACUUGUGGCUGGGGGUGAAAGGCCAAUCAAACCGGGAGAUAGCUGGUUCUCCCCGAAAGCUAUUUAGGUAGCGCCUCGUGAACUCAUCUUCGGGGGUAGAGCACUGUUUCGGCUAGGGGGUCAUCCCGACUUACCAACCCGAUGCAAACUACGAAUACCGAAGAAUGUUAUCACGGGAGACACACGGCGGGUGCUAACGUCCGUCGUGAAGAGGGAAACAACCCAGACCGCCAGCUAAGGUCCCAAAGUCAUGGUUAAGUGGGAAACGAUGUGGGAAGGCACAGACAGCCAGGAUGUUGGCUUAGAAGCAGCCAUCAUUUAAAGAAAGCGUAAUAGCUCACUGGUCGAGUCGGCCUGCGCGGAAGAUGUAACGGGGCUAAACCAUGCACCGAAGCUGCGGCAGCGACACUAUGUGUUGUUGGGUAGGGGAGCGUUCUGUAAGCCUGCGAAGGUGUGCUGUGAGGCAUGCUGGAGGUAUCAGAAGUGCGAAUGCUGACAUAAGUAACGAUAAAGCGGGUGAAAAGCCCGCUCGCCGGAAGACCAAGGGUUCCUGUCCAACGUUAAUCGGGGCAGGGUGAGUCGACCCCUAAGGCGAGGCCGAAAGGCGUAGUCGAUGGGAAACAGGUUAAUAUUCCUGUACUUGGUGUUACUGCGAAGGGGGGACGGAGAAGGCUAUGUUAGCCGGGCGACGGUUGUCCCGGUUUAAGCAUGUAGGCUG
RNAcentral lists this ribosomal RNA (1488 nucleotides) under Klebsiella pneumoniae. Its description in RNAcentral is "bacterial LSU rRNA". It matches the Rfam family "Bacterial large subunit ribosomal RNA", at positions 1 to 1527 of the family's 2925-position model. The record is from RNAcentral. Lineage: Bacteria; Pseudomonadati; Pseudomonadota; Gammaproteobacteria; Enterobacterales; Enterobacteriaceae.